Small nuclear RNA from Onychomys torridus (southern grasshopper mouse), 103 nucleotides. Lineage: Eukaryota; Metazoa; Chordata; Mammalia; Rodentia; Cricetidae. The record is from RefSeq and is a predicted model, not a curated record.
GUACAUUCCAUUUUGCAUAUAAUGAAACUAGAUCAAUGCAGAGAAGAUCAGCAUGGAUCCUCAUAAGUAUGAUGUACAAAUUCAUACAGCAAUACAUAUGUUC